AACGAACGCUGGCGGCAUGCCUAACACAUGCAAGUCGAACGGAGGCUUCGGCCUUAGUGGCGCACGGGUGCGUAACGCGUGGGAAUCUGCCCUUUGGUUCGGAAUAACAGCUGGAAACGGCUGCUAAUACCGGAUGAUGACGAAAGUCCAAAGAUUUAUCGCCAGAGGAUGAGCCCGCGUUGGAUUAGGUAGUUGGUGGGGUAAAGGCCUACCAAGCCGACGAUCCAUAGCUGGUCUGAGAGGAUGAUCAGCCACACUGGGACUGAGACACGGCCCAGACUCCUACGGGAGGCAGCAGUGGGGAAUAUUGGACAAUGGGCGCAAGCCUGAUCCAGCAAUGCCGCGUGAGUGAUGAAGGCCCUAGGGUUGUAAAGCUCUUUUACCCGGGAAGAUAAUGACUGUACCGGGAGAAUAAGCCCCGGCUAACUCCGUG
RNAcentral lists this ribosomal RNA (433 nucleotides) under uncultured bacterium. Its description in RNAcentral is "partial 16S ribosomal RNA". It matches the Rfam family "Bacterial small subunit ribosomal RNA", at positions 29 to 507 of the family's 1533-position model. The record is from RNAcentral.